UACCCUUGACAUGUAUAGAAGUUUGUUGAGAGAUGAAUGUGCCCGAAAGGGAGCUAUAACAC
RNAcentral lists this ribosomal RNA (62 nucleotides) under uncultured organism. RNAcentral describes it as "partial 16S ribosomal RNA". The record is from RNAcentral.